UAGGGAAUCUUCGGCAAUGGACGGAAGUCUGACCGAGCAACGCCGCGUGAGUGAAGAAGGUUUUCGGAUCGUAAAGCUCUGUUGUAAGAGAAGAACGAGUGUGAGAGUGGAAAGUUCACACUGUGACGGUAUCUUACCAGAAAGGGACGGCUAACUACGUGCCAGCAGCCGCGGUAAUACGUAGGUCCCGAGCGUUGUCCGGAUUUAUUGGGCGUAAAGCGAGCGCAGGCGGUUAGAUAAGUCUGAAGUUAAAGGCUGUGGCUUAACCAUAGUACGCUUUGGAAACUGUUUAACUUGAGUGCAAGAGGGGAGAGUGGAAUUCCAUGUGUAGCGGUGAAAUGCGUAGAUAUAUGGAGGAACACCGGUGGCGAAAGCGGCUCUCUGGCUUGUAACUGACGCUGAGGCUCGAAAGCGUGGGGAGCAAACAGGAUUAGAUACCCUGGUAGUCCACGCCGUAAACGAUGAGUGCUAGGUGUUAGACCCUUUCCGGGGUUUAGUGCCGUAGCUAACGCAUUAAGCACUCCGCCUAGGGAGUACGACCGCAAGGUUG
This 550-nucleotide ribosomal RNA is filed under the name uncultured bacterium. RNAcentral's name for it is "bacterial SSU rRNA". It matches the Rfam family "Bacterial small subunit ribosomal RNA", at positions 355 to 896 of the family's 1533-position model. The record is from RNAcentral.